GAAAAAUUCCUCUCAUGCUUCCAAUCUCUCUGACUUAUUUGAUCUCUAACCUCUACACCCUCUUUUAAAGAGUUCACUUGAUUAGGCCUGGCCCACCCACUCAAGGGAUGGGGAUUACACAGGUUGUGCACACUGGGUGAGAGAAUCUUGGGGGCCACUUUAGAAUUCUAUUAUAGCAAUCAAACUUUUAUGCCAAAGCAGGGACCCAAAAUGUGUAAUUUUAAUGCACUACAUUAUGGACUGAGUGUUUGUGCCUUGCCUCACCCCAAUUCAUUUGUUGAAGUCCUAACUCCCAAUGUGAUGGUAUUUGGAGGUGGGCCUUUUGGGAAGUAAUUCGGUUUAGAUGAGGUCAUGAGGAUGGGCCCCCAUGAUGGGAUUAGUGUCUUAUAAGAAAAGGAACAGAGACCACCUACUCUUUCUCUCUCUUUCUCUCUGCCAUGUGAGGAACACAGUGAGAAGGCAAUCAUCUGUAAAGCAGGAAGAGAGCCUUCCCCAGGAGCUGAAUCUGCCAGCAUCUUGAUCUUGGACUUCCCAGCCUCCAGAACCACCAGAGAGAAAUGCCUGUUGUCUGAACCACCGAGGUCACUUUGCAUAGACGAGAAGAACUUGAGGCUGAGCCUCUACCUAUGGUCUGUUGGAACCUAAGGAAGCCAGUUCAUUUCUCCCAAUCUCAAUGUCCUCAUCUGUAAAAGUAGGGAAAUUAUACUGGGCUUGCUGGGUUGGUUUGUGUGUGUAUGUGUGAACUAUAAAUACUUGAAAACGACUACCCCUUUCAGAAAGGGUUACUACUGCUAUUACUGUUAUCUGUGCCUUUAUGUAUGUAUAACUGAUCUGUCUCCUCUACUAGGCUAUGCAUUUGAGAGCAAGAAUUGUGUCUGUAUUGCUAACAGCAAUUCCAGCGCCUAACAAAGAGGAGGUGCUGUGGAGGCCAAAGCAACUCCAACUUGGAUGCUAAUCCAUCACUUUAACUUCUGAUUAACCUUGUUCUAGGAAGUCCUCUAAGAUUUCCAGUUUAUUUGAUGUUUCUUGUGUGAGAGUAGGUACCUACUGUAAAUCCUGCCCUGAGGUCAAAACAACCUUGAUGUUAUAGGACUUCAAUUGUUCUACACAAACAUUUUGAAUCACAUAUACCCUUUCCCAGUAUUAUAUAAGCCCUGCUCAUGAGAAUAAAUGGUGCAGGAUCCACCAUCUUGCCUCACCGCUGCCUGAGACACAGACAUGGCUUCUGUUUGUAAGUCCCUAUUAAGUGUAUAUUUCUGAGGAACCGGAUAUGUCAGCCUUUUUCUUCAGCCUCUCAGCUUCCUUGGACUUUUGGGGUAGGUUUGCCGAGGCCUGGCCCCCAUGGAACAGGUGCUCCAUCAAGGAGUAAGUGCUGAGCAUUUAGAUUCAGGUGAGGGGCAGCAGCCACCAGGAAAGAAGAGUCUAUGCAUAAUUACCUGCCCUACUUCCUGAGUCAGGGGUUCUCAAAUUCUUUGUGUUCAGGACACAUUUGAAGAGCCGGCACAUUCAGACAACAGUGACUCAGCAAUCAUUGCACUUAAUCCCUACUACUGAAGAACAACAUCUCAUAAUGUCUACAAAAGCAACCACUAUGAUCCCACCAUUUACUGGGAUGGCUUCAGCACUGCAGUUAGAAGGUGGAACGCUGACUGCCCGAAUGUCCUUCCUCUAAUAUACACAAGAAGAAUUCUCACCUGUCUAGUUAACCACUAUAUUUAUUGGUCCCUGGCUUGACAACAUACCUCUUACCUCCUCACAGCACUACAUAGUGUGUUGGCAUGCAGUCAUGUUUCAGGCAGGCACUUCAAAUUUGCCCUUGGAAUUCCAGGAUUUUGCUUUUGCAGUUUCUAAUUGUCAGCAAUCCUGAAGGCCCUUGACAUGUGGUCAUUUGUAAUUUUGCUGAGAUGUAAUUUUUUUUUUUUUUUUUGAGACAGAGUCUCGCUCUGUCGUCCAGGCUGGAGUGCAGUGGCGUGAUCUCAGCUCACUGCAAUCUCCGCCUCCCGGGUUCAAGCAAUUCUCCUGCCUCAGCCUCCUGAGUAGCUGAGAUUACAGGCACAUGCCACCACGCCCAGCUAAUUUUUGUAUUUUUACUACAGAUGAGGUUUCACCAUGUUGGUAAGGCUGGUCUCGAACUCCUAACGUCAUGAUCCACCCACCUUGGCCUCCCAAAGUGCUG
Molecule: long non-coding RNA, 2176 nt
Filed under: Pan troglodytes (chimpanzee)
Lineage: Eukaryota; Metazoa; Chordata; Mammalia; Primates; Hominidae
Description: long non-coding RNA NONPTRT004832
Source: RNAcentral